UUUAGAGGAACCUGCCCUGUAAACGAUGAACCACGAAUUAUUUUACUUUUUCUUGAAAUUCAGUUUGUAUACCGCUGUUGUCAGUUAGUUUCUUUAGAAAACUUUCAUUAAUGAUAAAUUCAAUGACUUCAAGUAAAGGUGCAGCUUAUGAAAAAGAUAGAGGUGGGUUACAUUUAAUAGAAUAAUACGAAUAAAGUUAUUGAAAUAAACUUUUUAAGGUGGAUUUAAUUGUAAAGUUUAAUUAAACUUGAUGUGAGC
This 258-nucleotide ribosomal RNA is filed under the name Euacasta sporillus. RNAcentral's name for it is "partial small subunit ribosomal RNA". Lineage: Eukaryota; Metazoa; Arthropoda; Thecostraca; Balanomorpha; Balanidae. The record is from RNAcentral.